GACGAACGCUGGCGGCGUGCUUAACACAUGCAAGUCGAACGGUGACGAGGAGCUUGCUCCUCUGAUCAGUGGCGAACGGGUGAGUAACACGUGAGCAACCUGCCCCAGACUCUGAGAUAACAGUUGGAAACAGCUGCUAAUACCGGAUACGAGACGGAGAGGCAUCUCUACCGUCUGGAAAGUUUUUCGGUCUGGGAUGGACUCGCGGCCUAUCAGCUAGUUGGUGAGGUAAUGGCUCACCAAGGCGACGACGGGUAGCCGGCCUGAGAGGAUGAUCCGCCACACUGGAAUUGGAACACGGACCAGACUCCUACGGGAGGCAGCAGUGAGGAAUAUUGCGCAAUGGGGGAAACCCUGACGCAGCGACGCCGCGUGGAUGAUGAAGGCCUCGGGUCGUAAAUACCUGUCAGGCGGAAGAAAUAGUAGUAUGCCUAAUACGU
RNAcentral lists this ribosomal RNA (440 nucleotides) under uncultured bacterium. RNAcentral's name for it is "bacterial SSU rRNA". It matches the Rfam family "Bacterial small subunit ribosomal RNA", at positions 28 to 469 of the family's 1533-position model. The record is from RNAcentral.